This is a non-coding RNA of Musa acuminata subsp. malaccensis (wild Malaysian banana), 495 nucleotides long. NCBI's taxonomy places the organism in Eukaryota, Viridiplantae, Streptophyta, Magnoliopsida, Zingiberales, Musaceae. The record is from RefSeq and is a predicted model, not a curated record.
AGAUGACGGUGGCUGGUAUACUUCAUUCGAUAGGCAAAAGUAAACCGUGAUACAACAACAAUAACAAAACUGGUACAUCCACUUGAUGAAGGCCGAGAAAUUUGUGUUGAAUCCUGACCUCCUAAGUGCAAUUUGUGCCUCAUUUCUUUUAGUCUCUUUGGUACUAAUUUGAGAAAAUAUAUGUUGCAACCAUCAAGAACUAUGGAUUUCUAUAGCCUGGUAUUUUAAUCGAUUUAAUGAAGAUCAACUUGCUCCUUCAUGGGAUCAUCUGAAGACCGAGGAUCAUAGUUCACCGACAAAUUAUCAUCUUCAGAUUUGGUGCCAUUUUGCAGGUGGAGUUAUAUAAAAGUCUUUGUCAUGGUUGUGUGAUGGUGCCAACAGGGAUGUGCUUCAAAACAUAUAUUUUCUAUUCCAAAGACCAGCCCUAUUGUAUACAUUAAGGCACAUGCUUGUGAUAAUGGGUUUCACUUGUUGGGAUGGAUAUCAGGAAGCUGC